Molecule: ribosomal RNA, 1439 nt
Filed under: uncultured organism
Description: 16S ribosomal RNA
Rfam family: Bacterial small subunit ribosomal RNA
Source: RNAcentral
CAGGCUUAACACAUGCAAGUCGAGGGGCAGCAUGGUCUUAGCUUGCUAAGGCCGAUGGCGACCGGCGCACGGGUGAGUAACACGUAUCCAACCUGCCGUCUACUCUUGGACAGCCUUCUGAAAGGAAGAUUAAUACAGGAUGGCAUCAUGAGUCCGCAUGUUCACAUGAUUAAAGGUAUUCCGGUAGACGAUGGGGAUGCGUUCCAUUAGAUAGUAGGCGGGGUAACGGCCCACCUAGUCUUCGAUGGAUAGGGGUUCUGAGAGGAAGGUCCCCCACAUUGGAACUGAGACACGGUCCAAACUCCUACGGGAGGCAGCAGUGAGGAAUAUUGGUCAAUGGGCGAGAGCCUGAACCAGCCAAGUAGCGUGAAGGAUGACUGCCCUAUGGGUUGUAAACUUCUUUUAUAAAGGAAUAAAGUCGGGUAUGGAUACCCGUUUGCAUGUACUUUAUGAAUAAGGAUCGGCUAACUCCGUGCCAGCAGCCGCGGUAAUACGGAGGAUCCGAGCGUUAUCCGGAUUUAUUGGGUUUAAAGGGAGCGUAGAUGGAUGUUUAAGUCAGUUGUGAAAGUUUGCGGCUCAACCGUAAAAUUGCAGUUGAUACUGGAUAUCUUGAGUGCAGUUGAGGCAGGCGGAAUUCGUGGUGUAGCGGUGAAAUGCUUAGAUAUCACGAAGAACUCCGAUUGCGAAGGCAGCCUGCUAAGCUGCAACUGACAUUGAGGCUCGAAAGUGUGGGUAUCAAACAGGAUUAGAUACCCUGGUAGUCCACACGGUAAACGAUGAAUACUCGCUGUUUGCGAUAUACUGCAAGCGGCCAAGCGAAAGCGUUAAGUAUUCCACCUGGGGAGUACGCCGGCAACGGUGAAACUCAAAGGAAUUGACGGGGGCCCGCACAAGCGGAGGAACAUGUGGUUUAAUUCGAUGAUACGCGAGGAACCUUACCCGGGCUUAAAUUGCAGAUGAAUUACGGUGAAAGCCGUAAGCCGCAAGGCAUCUGUGAAGGUGCUGCAUGGUUGUCGUCAGCUCGUGCCGUGAGGUGUCGGCUUAAGUGCCAUAACGAGCGCAACCCUUGUUGUCAGUUACUAACAGGUUCCGCUGAGGACUCUGACAAGACUGCCAUCGUAAGAUGUGAGGAAGGUGGGGAUGACGUCAAAUCAGCACGGCCCUUACGUCCGGGGCUACACACGUGUUACAAUGGGGGGUACAGAGGGCCGCUACCACGCGAGUGGAUGCCAAUCCCAAAAACCUCUCUCAGUUCGGACUGGAGUCUGCAACCCGACUCCACGAAGCUGGAUUCGCUAGUAAUCGCGCAUCAGCCACGGCGCGGUGAAUACGUUCCCGGGCCUUGUACACACCGCCCGUCAAGCCAUGGGAGCCGGUGGUACCUGAAGUGCGUAACCACGAGGAGCGCCCUAGGGUAAAACUGGUGACUGGGGCUAAGU